RNAcentral lists this ribosomal RNA (253 nucleotides) under uncultured bacterium. RNAcentral's name for it is "partial 16S ribosomal RNA". It matches the Rfam family "Bacterial small subunit ribosomal RNA", at positions 524 to 776 of the family's 1533-position model. The record is from RNAcentral.
GACGGAGGAUGCAAGUGUUAUCCGGAAUCACUGGGCGUAAAGCGUCUGUAGGUGGUUUAAAAAGUCCACUGUUAAAAAUUGAGGCUUAACUUCAAAGAUGCCGUGGAAACUUUUAAACUUGAGUAUGAUAGGGGUAGAGGGAAUUUCCAGUGGAGCGGUGAAAUGCGUAGAUAUUGGAAAGACCACCAAUGGCGAAGGCACUCUACUGGGCCAUUACUGACACUGAGAGACGAAAGCUAGGGGAGCGAAUGGG